AAGACGGAGACAUGGCAGGACUCUUACUUAAAUCCCCAGCCAGUUCCCCCGAGGAUUACUGCUGCCAGAAGAAUAGCACCAGCAACAGAACCUAUUAUGAUAUUGGUACCACUUGGACCUGUAGGAGUAAAGCACUCAACCAGUCAGCAAUUGAUUAAAGGUACAGUAUAU
Long non-coding RNA from Thalassophryne amazonica, 171 nucleotides. RefSeq lists it as uncharacterized. NCBI's taxonomy places the organism in Eukaryota, Metazoa, Chordata, Actinopteri, Batrachoidiformes, Batrachoididae. The transcript is spliced from 3 exons. The record is from RefSeq and is a predicted model, not a curated record.